RNAcentral lists this ribosomal RNA (312 nucleotides) under uncultured bacterium. RNAcentral describes it as "bacterial SSU rRNA". It matches the Rfam family "Bacterial small subunit ribosomal RNA", at positions 28 to 342 of the family's 1533-position model. The record is from RNAcentral.
GAUGAACGCUAGCGGCAGGCCUAACACAUGCAAGUCGAGGGGCAGCACGUCUUCGGAUGGUGGCGACCGGCGCACGGGUGCGUAACGCGUAUGCAACCUACCUCUUACAGUGGGAUAGCCCAGAGAAAUUUGGAUUAAUACCGCAUAGUAUGCGACAUUCAGCAUUGAUGACGUAUUAAACAUUUAUGGGUAAGAGAUGGGCCUAUGGCCUAUCAGCUAGUUGGUGCGGUAAAGCGCACCAAGGCUAUGACGGUAGCAGGCGUGAGAGCGCGACCAGCCACACUGGAACUGAGACACGGUCCAGACUCCUAC